This 363-nucleotide ribosomal RNA is filed under the name Escherichia coli. Its description in RNAcentral is "bacterial SSU rRNA". It matches the Rfam family "Bacterial small subunit ribosomal RNA", at positions 173 to 533 of the family's 1533-position model. Lineage: Bacteria; Pseudomonadati; Pseudomonadota; Gammaproteobacteria; Enterobacterales; Enterobacteriaceae. The record is from RNAcentral.
AACGUCGCAAGACCAAAGAGGGGGACCUUCGGGCCUCUUGCCAUCGGAUGUGCCCAGAUGGGAUUAGCUUGUUGGUGGGGUAACGGCUCACCAAGGCGACGAUCCCUAGCUGGUCUGAGAGGAUGACCAGCCACACUGGAACUGAGACACGGUCCAGACUCCUACGGGAGGCAGCAGUGGGGAAUAUUGCACAAUGGGCGCAAGCCUGAUGCAGCCAUGCCGCGUGUAUGAAGAAGGCCUUCGGGUUGUAAAGUACUUUCAGCGGGGAGGAAGGGAGUAAAGUUAAUACCUUUGCUCAUUGACGUUACCCGCAGAAGAAGCACCGGCUAACUCCGUGCCAGCAGCCGCGGUAAUACGGAGGGU